UUUUUGCAGACCUCGUGGUGAGGUGCGUGUUUGCAACAUAUUGAACGUAUCAGUGUAUUGUGCAUGUUUAUGUUAAUAAUUUCCUAUGACACAUAUUAGUAAUCAGUAUAUAAGGAAGUUCAUGGAAUUACAAUGGUUUCUUAUACAAUAUCAACCUAAUAUUAAACAUAGGAAUGUUUUUCCGUCUGCUGCGUCAAUUUGUAAAAAGAAGUUCCACUUUUCCUUAAAUUAAUCUAUCGCAUUAAUUUAUAAAAAAAGUUUCACUUUUCCUCAAAUCAACCCGUAGUCCUGUCACACUCGUCCAUCUCCGUUUUCUAAAAAACUACCCUACCUCAUCCUUGUGUCAACCCAAGGUUCUGCUGCCCUCCAC
Molecule: long non-coding RNA, 370 nt
Filed under: Setaria viridis
Lineage: Eukaryota; Viridiplantae; Streptophyta; Magnoliopsida; Poales; Poaceae
Description: long non-coding RNA (SVIR_LNC010884)
Source: RNAcentral